Non-coding RNA from Paramuricea clavata, 369 nucleotides. The record is from the annotation of a GenBank genome assembly. Lineage: Eukaryota; Metazoa; Cnidaria; Anthozoa; Malacalcyonacea; Plexauridae.
CGGGGUUGGGGCCGAAGAGAAACUAUUUUUAUUCAAAAAUUUCUUUUUACCCAACCAACUUAAGCCCAGAAAAUUAAAAUACCCAACCAUCUUUUGGUUAAUUUUUUUUUUACCCAACCCUAGGAAAAAAUAUUGUUUAUUAAAUGUGUUUAAUACUAACUUACGACAAUGGGCCAUUCCAUUUAAUAUAGGCACCCCCCUAUGGAAGGGACCCUUCAUAAUCCCCUUAGGAUAUAAAAAAUUUAGAACCCCCUUGGAUGCAAUUUUUGGAAGUUACCCCAUGGAUUUCUUUAUACCCCCUUUAGGAUAUCGUUUUUACCCCCUUGGAUAUCACGAAAAAUUCUUGCUAUUUUUUUUAAAUUUCUUAAG